Molecule: non-coding RNA, 1080 nt
Organism: Malus domestica (apple)
Lineage: Eukaryota; Viridiplantae; Streptophyta; Magnoliopsida; Rosales; Rosaceae
Source: RefSeq, a predicted model, not a curated record
UGCCAUAGCCCAACGAUUAAAGAUGUUUGUAAUUUUGUUAAGAGCAUUCAAACUACAACUGAGAUCCUGUGUUUGAAUUGCCCUUUACGUCUAAAUUUAUUUACAUAUUUUAUCAUUUGUCAAAAAAGGUAAGGGACCAUGUAAUAAUUAUUUAUUAUUUGAAGACCUCUUAAAAUUACACGUUGAAAAUAAUAUUCAACACCAAGAAUCCCUAGGAACUAGCCAUAGAUAUAUACCAAUAGCAGGCACAAUCGCUUGCUCUGUAAAUUACUUCUUGUUGUAUCAGUAUUUGCAACUCGCGAAACAAAGCUAAGUAGAGAGCUUUCGACACUCCCAAAGUAAAACAUGAGGCCUUCAAUGUCUAUCACCAGAUCCGUACACAGAGUCUCCCUCUACGAUAUCACCGGAACCCCCGGUGUCGCCAUUGACGUCAGCCACAUCAACACCAGAUCUGAGGUCAAAGGUUACACCGGAGAAGAGCAGCUUGCUCAAGCCUUGGAGGGAGCCGACGUCGUAAUUAUCCUCGCCGAAGUGCCCUGAAAGCCCGGCAUGACCCGAGAUGAUCUCUUCAACAUUAAUGUCGGUACCAUCAAGGGUCUCACUACCGCCAUCGCUAAGUACUGCCCCAAUGUGCUGAUCAACAUGAUUAGCAACCCAGUCAACUCUACGGUCCCGAUUACGGCCGAGGUGUUGAAGAAGAUUGGGAAGCACCACAGUGGUGCACACUCCGACGAGCACCAUCACCACCUAUGGACCGUUCCUCCUCCCUUUCUCACUUCCCGGCAAGCACCAUCAGGCAAGGGGAAGCCUUGUUUAGGCCGUACGAGGUGGAUGAUCCAUCAAACAUGAGCUGGUUUUGGGAUCCGGAGAAAAGGGAUUGCUCAUUUCGAUGGGUCUGAGCAUGGAUUCCAGAGAGAGGCGCAUAUCUUGGCAGUUGUGACGAUGGAGCCUCAGCUGCAGUUGCGACGCUGGAGCCUUGGCGAUAUUAUCGAUAAUAUCGCGAUAUAUUGACGAUAAUUAAGUGGAUAAGUGUGAAAAUAUCGCCCUCUAAAAAAAACGAUAUUAUCGGCGAUAUUUCGC